Non-coding RNA from Nerophis lumbriciformis (worm pipefish), 1913 nucleotides. Lineage: Eukaryota; Metazoa; Chordata; Actinopteri; Syngnathiformes; Syngnathidae. The record is from RefSeq and is a predicted model, not a curated record.
AUGAUGGCGCUAAAAUCCUUCACCCAGAUUUGAGGUGGAAGUUGUUAGCAUAAACAAGCUACAUGCUAGCGGGCGUGGCGCCAUUGUGUUUCUUGUUUCAAUGUAGCGCAGUUAGCUAAUAAAGCUAGCCUAAUUAACUCCAAGUCAGUUGGCCUAUUUUAGCAUAAAGAAAUGAAAAUAUAUCGACAAGCACGUAAAAACUCCUAAACAAAACAUAUUUUUUUGUAAACACUGAUAUUGCGAUAGCUAGCGCGAUAAACUCUCGCCGCUCCGCAGCCAUCUUGGAAAGGUUUUGAACUAGCUUUUAAAGUUCUGUUGAUUCUAUCUCAAAAUAAUGUUCUGCCACACUUUUUUGUCAUGAAUUAGCUCCUCAAACUAGCAUUUUUACUGGCAACGACAAGCUAAAUGCUAGCGGGCGUGGCGCCAUUUUGUUUCUUGUUUCAUCGUAGCGCAGUUAGCUAAUAAAGCUAGCCUAAUUAACUCCAAGUUAGUUGACCUAGUUUAGCAUAAAGAAAUGAAAAUAUCUACAAGCACUUAAAAACUCCAAAACAAAACAUAUUUAUUCGUAAACACUGAGACUGCUAGUAGCUAGCACAAUAAACUCUCGCCCUUCAGCAGCCAUCUUGGAAAGGUUUUGAACUAGCUUUUAAAGUUCUGUUGAUUUUAUCUCAAAAUGAUGUUCUGCCACAAUUUUUUGUCAUGAAUUAGCUCCUCAAACUAGCAUUUUUAUUGGCAACGACAAGCUAAAUGCUAGCGGGUCGUGGCGCCAUUUUGUUUCUUGUCUGUAAUCGUAGCGCAGUUAGCUAAUAAAGCUAGCCUAAUUAACUCCAAGUUAUUUGGCCUAGUUUAGCAUAAAGAAAUGAAAAUAUCUACAAGCACUUGAAAACCCCAAAACAUAUUUUUCCGUAAACACUGAGACUGCUAGUAGCUAGCACAAUAAUAUUUUGGUCUUCAGCAGCCAUCUUGGAAAGGUACUGAGCUAGCUUCUAAAUGUUUGUUGAUUCUAUCUCAAAAUAAUGUUCUGCCACACAAUUUUUUGUCAUUUUGACAAGCUAACUGUUAGCCUGUAGCUUGCUUAUCUCGUAACCUACUCAUUUUGGUGCCUUUGGCGCUGUUAUGAUAGCUGUAACCCAUGACAACGUUUUAGCUUGAAUUUGUUAGCGACAACGAGCUAAAUGCCAGCACUUUGUUUCUUGUCUGUAGUUGCGCGUGUAGCGGAUUAGCUUAGCGUAGCAUAAAGAAAGACCUCAUCCAACGGCACUUAUCUCUCGGAGAAAACAGUUUUCUGUGAACAUUGGGAGUGCUAUAAGCUAUUUUUUUCUGUGCGUCGUUUGAAUGUAUCCUCACGAAUUUUGGCAGCCAUCUUGGGAAGGGCUAGCUAACCUUACAAGCUUUUGUGAGCUAGUAAGGUUUGUUGACAAUGGUUAAAAAAAACACCUGUGACACCUGUGAACAUUUCUUGACGUUAUUCAUCCCUCACCCACAUUUUUCCCGCCAUUUUGUUCCUACUUAAACAAUUUGCUGCCCAAUAUUUUUAUGUGUCGUCAGACCUCAGCUAGCGCUACGCCAUUUGACGAAUAAUGGACGAAUCAGCAGAAACGGACAAAAUACCUUUUAGUGGAUGUUUGACAUUUUUACGGCGAACGUGCAAAUUAAGGUAAAUGCGCCAUGCUAGCUGUUAGCCUGCAUGCUAGUCAUAUUGCUAAUCCGGCGCAUGCACGCAAAGCUACGGUGCGUUAGCGUAGUUUACGCACUUGUUAAAAUGUGGAUUGUUUGCUGGGUUUCUGUUGCGUGGUUCGUUGUUAGCAUUUUGGUGCAGUUAGCGCAUAGAACCACCCGUUUUUUGGGUCCGGUUGGAGUUAUUCGGCUGAAUAGCGGACACUGGUAAAACUGAUUAAAAAUGGUUUCAAGUG